This 718-nucleotide ribosomal RNA is filed under the name Escherichia coli. RNAcentral's name for it is "partial 23S ribosomal RNA". It matches the Rfam family "Bacterial large subunit ribosomal RNA", at positions 1 to 752 of the family's 2925-position model. The record is from RNAcentral. Lineage: Bacteria; Pseudomonadati; Pseudomonadota; Gammaproteobacteria; Enterobacterales; Enterobacteriaceae.
GGGUUGUGAGGUUAAGCGACUAAGCGUACACGGUGGAUGCCCUGGCAGUCAGAGGCGAUGAAGGACGUGCUAAUCUGCGAUAAGCGUCGGUAAGGUGAUAUGAACCGUUAUAACCGGCGAUUUCCGAAUGGGGAAACCCAGUGUGAUUCGACACACUAUCAUUAACUGAAUCCAUAGGUUAAUGAGGCGAACCGGGGGAACUGAAACAUCUAAGUACCCCGAGGAAAAGAAAUCAACCGAGAUUCCCCCAGUAGCGGCGAGCGAACGGGGAGCAGCCCAGAGCCUGAAUCAGUGUGUGUGUUAGUGGAAGCGUCUGGAAAGGCGCGCGAUACAGGGUGACAGCCCCGUACACAAAAAUGCACAUGCUGUGAGCUCGAUGAGUAGGGCGGGACACGUGGUAUCCUGUCUGAAUAUGGGGGGACCAUCCUCCAAGGCUAAAUACUCCUGACUGACCGAUAGUGAACCAGUACCGUGAGGGAAAGGCGAAAAGAACCCCGGCGAGGGGAGUGAAAAAGAACCUGAAACCGUGUACGUACAAGCAGUGGGAGCCUCUUUUAUGGGGUGACUGCGUACCUUUUGUAUAAUGGGUCAGCGACUUAUAUUCUGUAGCAAGGUUAACCGAAUAGGGGAGCCGAAGGGAAACCGAGUCUUAACUGGGCGUUAAGUUGCAGGGUAUAGACCCGAAACCCGGUGAUCUAGCCAUGGGCAGGUUGAAGGU